Molecule: ribosomal RNA, 468 nt
Filed under: uncultured bacterium
Lineage: Bacteria
Description: partial 16S ribosomal RNA
Rfam family: Bacterial small subunit ribosomal RNA
Source: RNAcentral
GACGAACGCUGGCGGCGUGCUUAACACAUGCAAGUCGAACGGAAAGGCCCUGUUUUGGUUGGGUGCUCGAGUGGCGAACGGGUGAGUAACACGUGAGUAACCUGCCCUUGACUUUUGGAUAACUUCAGGAAACUGUGGCUAAUACCGCAUAGGAGCUCCUGCUGCAUGGUGGGGGUUGGAAAGUUUCGGCGGUUGGGGAUGGACUCGCGGCUUAUCAGCUUGUUGGUGGGGUAGUGGCUUACCAAGGCUUUGACGGGUAGCCGGCCUGAGAGGGUGACCGGGCACAUUGGGACUGAGAUACGGCCCAGACUGGUACGGGAGGCAGCAGUGGGGAAUAUUGCAAAAUGGGCGGAAGCCUGAUGCAGCAACGCCGCGUGCGGGAUGACGGUCUUCGGGUUGUAAACCGCUUUCGACUGUGACGAAGCGUGAGUGACGGUAAUGGGUAAAGAAGCACCGGCUAACUACGUG